UACGUAGGGUGCAAGCGUUGUCCGGAAUUAUUGGGCGUAAAGGGCUCGUAGGCGGUCCAUCGCGUCGGGAGUGAAAAGCUGGGGCUUAACCCCAGUCCUGCUUCCGAUACGGGUGGACUAGAGGUAGGUAGGAGAGAUCGGAAUUCCUGGUGUAGCGGUGAAAUGCGCAGAUAUCAGGAGGAACACCGGUGGCGAAGACGGAUCUCUGGGCCUUACCUGACGCUGAGGAGCGAAAGCAUGGGGAGCAAACAGG
Molecule: ribosomal RNA, 253 nt
Filed under: uncultured bacterium
Lineage: Bacteria
Description: partial 16S ribosomal RNA
Rfam family: Bacterial small subunit ribosomal RNA
Source: RNAcentral